Molecule: non-coding RNA, 320 nt
Organism: Camelina sativa (false flax)
Lineage: Eukaryota; Viridiplantae; Streptophyta; Magnoliopsida; Brassicales; Brassicaceae
Source: RefSeq, a predicted model, not a curated record
UAAACUGUAAUGCAAUUUCAGAUACUCGGAAGAGCACAAUCUGUUAAGCGGGAAUCAAGAACCAGUUUAACCUUUUGAUCAUUCAUCCGGGAGCUUACUGGAGGUAUUUGCAAUGGGCAUCCUCGAGGCUUUACCACAAAUGGACAAGGUGAGGAAGUUUGCUUUUGUACUGAGUCCUAUUCUGCAAGUGAGGUUGAUCACAUUGCUCGUGUCUUUGCAAGUGAUGGAUGUUCAGAGGACAUGGCGUCUUCAACUCUCAUCUGAUUUGACGAGAAACUCCACAACAAUAAAAAAGAUUCUGUGAAACAUCUCUCCACAUA